RNAcentral lists this ribosomal RNA (402 nucleotides) under uncultured bacterium. RNAcentral's name for it is "partial 16S ribosomal RNA". It matches the Rfam family "Bacterial small subunit ribosomal RNA", at positions 355 to 774 of the family's 1533-position model. The record is from RNAcentral.
UCGGGAAUAUUGCACAAUGGAGGAAACUCUGAUGCAGUGACGCCGCGUAUAGGAAGAAGGUUUUCGGAUUGUAAACUAUUGUCGUUAGGGAAGAGAUGGACAGUACCUAAGGAGGAAGCUCCGGCUAACUACGUGCCAGCAGCCGCGGUAAUACGUAGGGAGCGAGCGUUAUCCGGAUUUAUUGGGUGUAAAGGGUGCGUAGAUGGUUUAAUAAGUUAGUUGUGAAAUCCCUUGGCUCAACUGAGGAACUGCAACUAAAACUGUUAAACUUGAGUAUAGGAGAGGUAAGUGGAAUUCCUAGUGUAGCGGUGAAAUGCGUAGAUAUUAGGAGGAACACCAGUGGCGAAGGCGACUUACUGGACUAUAACUGACAUUGAGGCACGAAAGUGUGGGGAGCAAACA